AUGAAUAUUGCCCUCCUCUCCAAAUGGCUCUGGCGGAUCCAGACUGAGGAGGGCGGUCUCUGGCUAGAGAUUAUUCGCGCCAAGUACCUUCGUGGUCAACCACUGGCUUUUGCCUCUAGAUCAGGCGGGUCCCAAUUAUGGCAAUCGGUAAUCCGUCUGAUGUCUGUCCUGCGCAUUGGGACCUCCAUUUCUGUAGGGUCCGGUUCUGGUACCCUCUUUUGGCUACAUAGGUGGGCUGGGCCCCGCUCAUUUGAGGAGCGCUUCCCCUCAUUAUUCUCAAUCUGCACCCGCCCACUCCUAUCGGUUGCGGUAGCCUUAGCGGACUUGGGGGUUGUUGCCUUCCGCCGUACCUUCGGGGCGGGGGAACGCGAACAAUGGGACGAGCUAGUCGAAUGUAUUGCACUCCGCUCCCCCUCCCUCGAGCCGGAUACGCUAUCUUGGCAUCUUGAGCCAAAUGGCCGCUUCUCAACUAGGUCCCUUUAUCAGGCGAUUGUCCCCACUCCGGGACCGGCGGAAUUAUCCGUACUCUGGGCAAUCAAACUCCCCCUGAAGAUCCGCAUAUUCCUAUGGCAGUGGGUUCGAGGCCGGCUACCCUCGGGCACGGAGGUCCGCAAGCGUAGCGGUCCUGGGGAUGGCCUCUGCCCCCUUUGUUUGGUGCCGGAAGAUUGCAACCACAUUUUCUUCCGUUGCCGUGCAGCUCAAUUCCUAUGGAGUUGCUUCCGGGAGGUCGUGGGUGGCAACUAG
Molecule: ribosomal RNA, 744 nt
Filed under: Triticum aestivum (bread wheat)
Lineage: Eukaryota; Viridiplantae; Streptophyta; Magnoliopsida; Poales; Poaceae
Description: partial small subunit ribosomal RNA
Source: RNAcentral